UUGCUGGUUCAGGAUUUAUGGUGUUUGACAGAAUAUUUUGCCAACUCCAAUAUCUUCAGCCUGCGAUUGAGCCAUGAGAUCUUUAAUAUUUGCCUGAGUCACUGCAUCACAUCUUGGAUUGAAGGAGCACCGAUAUACAGCAAUCCCUUCUUUUUGCAGCUGAAUUAUGAAUGUUACCAGUUGAGUCAAGAAAGCACUGGCAGGAGUGAAUACCAUAACAAUGAUAAUUUGUAUUUAUCGAAGUCUUUUAUACUGUCUUGUGGGGGCAUGUUUGACACCAUAAGACAGUGAAGGUGUGACAGUGGUACAAUGGAAAUCUCAGUGGCUUAGUAAUAUGGCUGGGGAUAUGGCUUCAAAUCCCACCAUGUCAGAUGGUAAAGUUUGAAUAAAGUUAAUAAAUAAUCUGGAAUAAACCCCUAACCUAAUGAUGAUCUAAUGUCAAUUGUUGUAACAACACACCUGGUUCACUAAUGUCCUUUAAAAACAGAAUUCUGCCAUCCAACUCCAGGCCUAUUGCAAUGUGGUUAACUUUAACUACUCUCUGGGCAAUUAGGGAUGGUCAAGAAAUGAUGAUCCGGCCAGUGACACGUACACCCUUGAUACAAAUUUUUUUAAAAUGUCUUCAUUUAAAGAGCAUCUUAAAGGAGCAAAACAAAAUUUGAGGCAUGGGUAUUUCCAAAACCUAGGUCCUUGACAGCUGAAUAUAUGACCACUCAUGGUGGAGCAGUUAGAAUAUAGGUGAUUAAGGAGAGCAGAUAUCUUAAAGGCUUUUAUGAGAGGAGGAAAUUAAAGGAUGAGGAGGAGGGAGGUUUAACAAAAAAUACAAGUGGAGGUAGAUUAGUACUACAAACAAAGGGAAUGAUAUCGAAAACUGAUUGCAGCAUCGUUACUGACAGUGAAGUCCACCACAAUAAUACAUGUAAUGAAUUAGUUUUAUUUUGAAGACCCAAGCAAUGGACAACAGGAGUGGUUGUUAGCAGUGAAAUUAAGUAAUAAAACAAUCACCUCAUCCAGCAUAUGCAUGAGGUGAUUUCUAAUCUUCUGUACAAAUUAGUUCUGGAACAAAAUAAAUCAAUAAUGUAUUUCCCAUUUGUAUUGUAGCGGUAAUUUGUCGGUGUUGAUUCGAUGAAUGUAUUAAAAUUGCCAAGUGCUAAUGUUCCUUGCCUCUUAUCUCUUUGAACUGUCUGUUGAAUGUGAAAAUGAUAUGCUGCAUCUUUUCAGACCUUCUUCAUUUACAAAAGCAAUAUGUAGUACUUCUGCGAUUAGAUUUUAUGUUACGCAUUCUUCACCAAAGCUGUAUGGAUAUAUUUGAAAGACAAUAAAUUCCUCCUACCUUA
Chiloscyllium plagiosum (whitespotted bambooshark) is the source of this 1337-nucleotide non-coding RNA. The record is from RefSeq and is a predicted model, not a curated record. NCBI's taxonomy places the organism in Eukaryota, Metazoa, Chordata, Chondrichthyes, Orectolobiformes, Hemiscylliidae.